CAUGCAAGUCGAACGGGCACUUCGGUGCUAGUGGCAGACGGGUGAGUAACACGUGGGAACGUACCUUUCGGUUCGGAAUAAUUCAGGGAAACUUGGACUAAUACCGGAUACGCCCUUCGGGGGAAAGAUUUAUCGCCGAUAGAUCGGCCCGCGUCUGAUUAGCUAGUUGGUGAGGUAAUGGCUCACCAAGGCGACGAUCAGUAGCUGGUCUGAGAGGAUGAUCAGCCACAUUGGGACUGAGACACGGCCCAAACUCCUACGGGAGGCAGCAGUGGGGAAUAUUGGACAAUGGGCGCAAGCCUGAUCCAGCCAUGCCGCGUGAGUGAUGAAGGCCUUAGGUUGUAAAGCUCUUUUGUCCGGGAAGAUAAUGACUGUCCGGAAGAAUAAGCCCGGCUAACUC
Molecule: ribosomal RNA, 400 nt
Filed under: Afipia sp. oral taxon 636
Lineage: Bacteria; Pseudomonadati; Pseudomonadota; Alphaproteobacteria; Hyphomicrobiales; Nitrobacteraceae
Description: bacterial SSU rRNA
Rfam family: Bacterial small subunit ribosomal RNA
Source: RNAcentral